Molecule: unclassified non-coding RNA, 211 nt
Filed under: soil metagenome
Description: partial contains 5.8S ribosomal RNA, internal transcribed spacer 2, and large subunit ribosomal RNA
Source: RNAcentral
AACGAGGCCGACCUGCGGCUGAGUUACCUGCGGAAGGAUCAUUACCGAGUUUACAACUCCCAAACCCCUGUGAACAUACCAAUUGUUGCCUCGGCGGAUCAGCCCGCUCCCGGUAAAACGGGACGGCCCGCCAGAGGACCCCUAAACUCUGUUUCUAUAUGUAACUUCUGAGUAAAACCAUAAAUAAAUCAAAACUUUCAGCAAUGGAUCU